Zootermopsis nevadensis is the source of this 2864-nucleotide non-coding RNA. Lineage: Eukaryota; Metazoa; Arthropoda; Insecta; Blattodea; Termopsidae. The record is from RefSeq and is a predicted model, not a curated record.
AAAAAUUUUGAUACGGUUGCAUAAUUUUCCGACCACUCUGUACAAAUGUGACUGGCGUCAUGACGAAGGAUGACUUUCAACAAGGCGCCGCACGUCGCGUUGAAGUCCUUUGUUCCAUUGCAUUCGAAGGAUAAAGGUUCGGAGACUUACAAUACUUCUCACGACUGAGCUUUCAUAGUUUUCUUCAGUACCUCCAGCCAGAUUUUUGAGAUAGUGACCGUGAGCGACCCUUACACGUUUGUCGGCUUAUUACCUUUAUAAGGAUUGGGAACUUUAGCCAUUAUUUACGAAAUAAAGUCCUUAACGCAGUUUGACACAUAUUUUUUUAAAGGACGCCCAGCAGUCCUAGGUACUAAAUAUAAUGACGCAAUAGCAUUUUAUCUGAGCAUUUAAUUCAUAUAUCGAUUGCAGAUAAAACUGGAGUACAAUUAAAUUAUAUGAAAUUUGAGGUUUCGAAGUUCUACGUCCCCCCGUGAUAUUCGGAGCGUGCAAGUUACAGCCACAUUACCAUUCAUUUUCAGAUUACGGGAAUGUGACCUUGUUCUAACGUUAUAUACAUUGACGCUAACGAAGAUCGGAGGGGAAUAGAGGAGAAUGAGCGUGGGUGCAUGGUGCUGGGCGACUCAAUGGUGCGCAAUGUUGGAGUAGAGCACACAUAUAUGACGGUGGAGUGUUUUCCGGGGAUUAGAAAGGAUCAGUUGCACAGUCCAGAAACUGUUAUUGUUCACGUAGCUGGAUACAGGAAGGGGAUUUUGCUGGGGAUGGACUGCAUCUGAAUGGACGAGGAAGGAGACGAUUUGAACAACUGUACGCUAGAGUUAGUGGACUUGAUGGUGGAGGAGCAGCACGAAGGAAGACGUGACACGGUUUGGUGGAUGGUACUCACAGAACGAGGACAACCAGAGAAACGCGGCAUUCAUCAACUGGAGAACAGAAGGUUUUGCAUGAAAUUACUCUCCGCCUGACCAUAACCGGGCUUCUGAUGCUGGCAGUUGCACCGCCUCCUCGCUGGGGCAGCAGGUAGCCCCCUGCACCUUCAACUCCAUGUGCUCGUGCAAGUUUGGGGGAGAAGACACCCGGGGAAUCCACUUCACCACCCCCAGAUCUCUGGUCAGCGCCAGGGACAUCAUCUGUGUCGGCGUUCCGUUUUCAAAACUGCCCGUUACUUUGAGCCAGAGUUCAUGAGAAGAAUCCUGUUGUUUAUGAACGUAGAUCAUUCGCACACAUUAUCUCAGCACAAGGAACAUCAGCCAUGAAGAAGGCAGCAGAUCUGGGGCAAUUAGGUGAUGCAGAGUUGCUUCACAUGGGUAAUAAUUCUAAACGUACUCUCUUUUACGUGUUUUGUUUAUGUACAGCCAGCAGACAUGCUACUGAGCAAUAACAUCGUAUCACUUGUCUUGUAUUACGACUUCUCACUCAUUUGACAUUGUCAUUCCUCUGUGAUUGAUGAGAGUGUGAUGUGUUGAUGUGUGGAAAAGUCUGAUCUAAUAGUGAAAUGAUCCAUUGUCAAUUAAGAUGCCACCAAUUUAGUCUAAAUAAAAUACAUUUACAUGUCAGAGAUUGGACAUUGUUAAAACCUUUAAUGAAUUUACGAUGAGAGAAGCAGAAGGGAAAAUUAAUUAAGUUACUGUAAAAUUCUAUAAUUAAUUACAGGAAAUACAAACAAGUGUCCUAGCAAUGGAGAUAUCCAGAAGGUCCCUUAGAAGGAUUAUAAAAUGAGCAGAACAUAAGGAAGAAAUGAAAAUCAUUUGGACUCCUAUAAAUAAGUAUAAUGUGCCAAAGAUACAGAUAAAUAACAAAAAUCUAGAUACAAAAAAAUAUUUCUUUCGAGUCACCUUCUCUGGAAGAAAUCCACCAGGAGCGCCCAAUCACAACAUAUCCUCAUUUGAAAUGACUGAAGGCCAUUAUCAACCACCUAUAUCUGCUGUACACAGAGUGUAUGUAUUGUAGCAGUUAUCAGGGGCAUUAUUCCGUCAUCUUGUCUGCGGUAUAAUACAGUGUGUCUCACUAAAUGCGGAAUCCACUAGGAGACAUGCCAGAGCAGCAGCAGGAAGCAAACUACCAGGAAAUGAGUUGGUCACAAUUUGAACAUAGCCAUCACAUGCUUGUAGUUUCAGCCAAGGUACAUGAGAAGAAUCCUGUUGUUUAUGAACGUAGAUAAUCCGCACACACUAUCUCAGCACAAGGAACAUCAGGCAUGAAGAAGGCAGCAGUUCUGGGGCAAGUUGAUGAUGUGGAGUUGCUUCAUAUGGAGAGCUAGGUUUGUGUCCUGUUUGCAGAUAUAUUUCUCUGCAGUGAAUUUUGAGAAUGUGCUGAAUUGGAGGUUGUUGCUGUUGUGUGCAGCCUGUGAGAGAUUUCAGAAGGCCUGUGCCAGUGUAAUUUUCAUCAUUCUGCACUUUGAAAGUGUGCGUUCUGUCUGAAAAUGAAAUUCUUAGCCACACCAGGACUCCAUCAAUUUACAGAAAGUUGUACCUGAUUCAUAUGAUGAUAUGACUCUUGGGUCUUGGUAUGAUGACAGUCAAGUCAGCAAUAUCAAAGUUGAGGAUGUCGGAGGUGUGAAAGUGGAGGAGGAUCCUGUCAUGAUAACAUUUCCAGUAAUAAUGGCAGAGCAUGAGCUCCUACGUCAAUUCCCAGAUUUCUACAUUAUUUUUGUAAGGUACGUAAUUAAAAUUAAUGUGUUCGUCAUGGUCGUAAUCAAGUGCAAAAUACAGGCAACUCUCGGUUUACGAACAUUCACUGUAACGAACGUCGCAAUUCAUUCAAAAAAUUUUAAAGUCGCCAAGAGUUCCUUAUAAAACGAGGUGCCAAACGUUCUAUAGCAAUAUAAUUGUAAGAUUUAAAUAAAUAAACUUUUAAAAAAUGUA